This 268-nucleotide ribosomal RNA is filed under the name uncultured Desulfotomaculum sp. RNAcentral describes it as "partial 16S ribosomal RNA". It matches the Rfam family "Bacterial small subunit ribosomal RNA", at positions 1117 to 1382 of the family's 1533-position model. The record is from RNAcentral. Lineage: Bacteria; Bacillati; Bacillota; Clostridia; Eubacteriales; Desulfotomaculaceae.
GCCAGCGGGUUAGUGCCGGGCACGUCUAGCUGAACUGCCGUUGACAAAACGGAGGAAGGUGGGGAUGACGUCAAAUCAUCAUGCCCUUUAUGUCCUGGGCUACACACGUGCUACAAUGGCCUGUACAGAGGGAAGCGAAAGGGUGACCUGGAGCGAAUCCCAAAAAGCAGGUCUCAGUUCGGAUUGCAGGCUGCAACCCGCCUGCAUGAAGUCGGAAUCGCUAGUAAUCGCAGGUCAGCAUACUGUGGUGAAUACGUUCCCGGGCCUU